Long non-coding RNA from Brassica rapa (field mustard), 3452 nucleotides. RefSeq lists it as uncharacterized. NCBI's taxonomy places the organism in Eukaryota, Viridiplantae, Streptophyta, Magnoliopsida, Brassicales, Brassicaceae. The record is from RefSeq and is a predicted model, not a curated record.
CUUGUCUUAUAUUUAUGCUUAUGUUUGUUCGGGCCGAGUGUGGCUGUCUUAUGUUUAUGGCUAAGUAUGGUCAUUUUACUUUGUCGGGACUGGCCACAUGUGGCUGUGAAUCCCUGCCGCUUCGUGGCAUUAUCUAAUGCAUUUAAGUUUAGCGUUUUAAGAGCUUUAUGAAUACUUGUGAUAAGUGUAGAGGGAAGAAUAUGAGUAGUCACUUCAUGUCUAACUCUUAGUGAAUUGUUAUGUCGUUGCUUCUUUAAGCUGAGUGUAUUCGAAAAUUUUGAAAUUUUUGCGAAGUUUCGUGAGCGUUUAGAUAUGAACGAAGAGACAUGUUUUAGGAUCUCGUAUCAAUUUUGAUAUCAUGUCUAGAGAUGUUAGAGACCAUAGUGCUGACUUUAGGGCAAGACCUAGGUUUACUAUCGGCUUAAGGCUUUGCGACGACUAAUCGGCUUUCGUUUUACAUGUUUACGAUUUUAACCUGAUUCGUACCUAUUUAAAGUCCGUGAAUUGUUAUCGGCUUAUAUGACUUGUCUUGGUAGGAACCGAGCUACUUCCAAAGACUGUUUGGAGGUGAUGACCAAAAUUUCGGCUUCUUGUAUAGCGCACUAUGUUAUCCUUGUGGGAUGUAAGAAGAUCAUUUUCACAGAAAAGGUCUGAUUAUAGGUUCGUUUAGAGAACUUUUUGAUUUGUCGGUCGGGACCAAUAGACGGAUGUUUUUUAAGAUGGUCUUGCUGAUUUAUAGUCGCAAACAAACUGUUUUAUGGAAUAAUAUUUUCGAGAAAUCGUGACGUCUCGCUUUUUCCGAAAAUACUUUUUUUCAUUGAAAUAAUUGUGAUUUUUUCCGUAAAGAAAAUAGAGUUAGGAUCGUGUUUCGGCCGGGAGUCUCACUUUGACUAUGACCAGGAAUUAAUUUGUAAUAGUUUUGACGGAAUAAUUUUUCUUUUUAAAAAGGUUUCUUUCAUAUACUGCUUUGCGGGUUUGUGGGGAUGCUUGUAAAAAGGCUAAUUUCGACAAAGGAAUGGUUAAUAGAACAUUCAUAAUUCGCUUUAAGAAUUGAUUUUUGUUUUUGUGUUAUGCGAUAUUGUUAUAUUUUUUACUUAGGCAUUUUGAGUGAAUCUCGAUUUGCUAAUGUUGUCGUAAGUAAUGUUGUGAGAUUAAAUGUUGCGAUAAAAAAGAUCUGCCACUAGAAGUCAUAUUGUGUUUUCCUAUUGCUGAUUUUUUUUCAAAAUAUUUAGUACAAGUGUGAAUAUCUUAAACUUAUGGGAGUAUACGAGUAUACGUAUACGUACCCACUCCCCCCCUUUUUAGAGAGGGGGAUAGCUGAACUCUUCUUUCGGCGAGCUGCCUACAAACCCCUUUAGAGGAUCAAGCCAUCUCGUAGUUCAGUUGAUUGCCGCGAGUUUUUUACUCGCUGGGUGAGGCUGCGUUGAUCACUUUAGUCGUGCUGAUUGUCGUAGGAUCGGUGGCGGUUUCCGGAUCUGGUUUUGCCGGAAUGUUGAGAGCGUUAGGCUCAAAGACUUGGUCGUUGUCCGUGGCCGUUUGUAAUAACCCUCACAAGUAGAUAUAAUUUUGAUCGAGAAAAUUCUUUUAGAUCAGAUUGAAGAUUAGUCAACUGGAACUAAAAAAUAAUAGUUAAAUUUACCCGGUGAGUUAAUUUGUCGACGUGACUGUCUUGAGGUUGGAAUACCUUCCCUUGAUAAUUUUGACCGAGUGUUAAUUAUUAUGAUCGAGUUUUAUAUAAGCUUGACGAGUUUAUCUAAAAUCAGGAUGGGAACUGAUGGAUGGGAAAUGUUUUGUCGAGAACUGGCCAGAAAUAAUUUCAGCUUCUUGUUAAUUAGUCACUAGAGUUGCACCUUCUUGCUUCUUCAGUAUUUAAGUCACAUGACCUGCGCCUACUUGCUUACAUGCUUGCUCAUUAGAAGUCACACGCUGGUCACAAGCUGUUUGCUUUAGCUGCUUGUAUCUUUCUUCAUAGACGGAAAAUGUUCAGCUGCUUGUGUUGCUUAGUGUGCUGAAGCAUGUCUCCAGCUGUCUAACCUCAGUUUUGUCUUUUGUGGGAGAAAAUCAUUAUCUGAAGUAACUCCUUAUGAUAUAAAAUACCUUCUUCUCUCCUCUGGACGUUCAUAACCUUCAGCAAAACAAGAAAAAUUUCAGAGAAAAUCUGAGAGAGAAAAUAAGAGGAAAAAUAAGAGAAAAAUUCUGAAGAGGAGACUGAGAAUGGACGACCCUUUCUAACCUUCGUGGGCCUUGAAUCAGUGGUUGUGGUGUGUGGAAAAUUUGUAGAUGGUUCAUGAGAUUCACGAGAUCAGUUCACAACUUAUCAGUGUCGAGUAUUAAACCGUACAACCAUGAGUAAAGUUUGGAGAGAAGUUCCAACCGAGAUUAUCUAACUGUCAGUUGUUGUGGUAAGCAUCAGUUUGUAGCUUCAGUCAUGUUCUGAACAGAACCAAUUGAUGAUAUCGUAAGCUACUCUAUGGAUCAGUUGGCUAAGCUCUUGUACAGUUCAGUUUAGUUUAGUUUUGGAUUGAAUCAGUCUCAUGGAACUGUUAACUAAUCUGACAUGAGCUGAUUGGAAUUAAUCCGAACUAAAUUAAUUUUAUUAUAAACUGAAUUGAUUUUGGUUUGAUCUUGACUAAACCAAGAUGAACUUUCCUCGAACUGAAAUGAUAAAGCUUAUCCUGAACCGAACUAGUCUGAUUUAAGUUGCUUCUUCACAACCGAAAUAUUAGAUUAAUGAUCAUCUAUACCGAACUGCUCUGUUCCAGGUCAGUGUUUGAGAUAAUCUUAAAAGAUCACACCUGUUCAUCCAGUAGAACCGUGUCCUGUCUUGGUUCAGUUCGUCGAAGAGAUUGGAAUGACCAGUCGGACCAUGUCUUGUCCUCACUCUAAUUCAGGAGUGAUCAGCCAGUGGUGAAUGUUUAGUUUGAGCUCGUGUCUAGUCUUCCUUAGUCAAUCUCAUGGAUUCAAAGGUGAGUCUAGAUAGAUAAUUGAAGAGUUAUGAAUGAGUGUUUAAUGGUUGAAAGUAUUUAUUAUAGAUGAUUGUUUCUUGAUAAAUAAUGAAUUGGUGAGGUGUCUACUUAGUGUAAACAGUUAAUAAAUAUUUAUGAAAUAUUAUCUGAAGUUUAUUCCGAGCCUUAGUACUUGUUCUCAAGUACUAAUAUAUAUAUAUAUAUAUAUAUAUAUAUAUAUAUGAACAAGUAUGGAAGUGUUAAUCAUGUUAAGUCUUUAUAAACAUGUCUUCCAAAAUAUUCUCGUAUGAAUGAUUAUUACCGUGAAUUGGUCUUGGGAUAUGGAACAAGGUCACGAAGACAAGAUGAUGAGGUCCUUGGAGGCCGUGUAGCUGCAUGCAACGUUAGAUGUUUGAUCUUAAAAUAUCCGAUGACAAUGUUGGUGAUACUAACCCGCUAGACUCGUUUAGCCUAUGUGGUUUCUCGGGUCUGGCAUAUAUAUAUAUA